UGGGGUGUAGCGCAGUUGGUAGCGCGCGACAUUUGGGAUGUCGAUGCCGGGAGUUCGAGUCUCCCCACUCCAACCA
This 76-nucleotide transfer RNA is filed under the name Caudoviricetes sp. RNAcentral describes it as "tRNA-Pro". It matches the Rfam family "tRNA". From Rfam's summary of the family: Transfer RNA (tRNA) molecules are approximately 80 nucleotides in length. The record is from RNAcentral. Lineage: Duplodnaviria; Heunggongvirae; Uroviricota; Caudoviricetes.